GACGAACGCUGGCGGCGUGCUUAACACAUGCAAGUCGAACGGUAAGGCCCUUCGGGGUACACGAGUGGCGAACGGGUGAGCAACACGUGGGUGAUCUGCCCUGCACUUCGGGAUAAGCCUGGGAAACUGGGUCUAAUACCGGAUAGGACCACUGCCUGCAUGGGUGGUGGUGGAAAGCUUUGGCGGUGUGGGAUGGGCCCGCGGCCUAUCAGCUUGUUGGUGGGGGGAUGGCCUACCAAGGCGACGACGGGUAGCCGGCCUGAGAGGGUGACCGGCCACACUGGGACUGAGAUACGGCCCAGACUCCUACGGGAGGCAGCAGUGGGGAAUAUUGCACAAUGGGCGCAAGCCUGAUGCAGCGACGCCGCGUGAGGGAUGACGGCCUUCGGGUUGUAAACCUCUUUCAGCACCGACGAAGCGCAAGUGACGGUAGGUGCAGAAGAAGGACCGGCCAACUACGUGCCAGCCGCCGCCGUAA
RNAcentral lists this ribosomal RNA (478 nucleotides) under uncultured bacterium. RNAcentral's name for it is "partial 16S ribosomal RNA". It matches the Rfam family "Bacterial small subunit ribosomal RNA", at positions 28 to 523 of the family's 1533-position model. The record is from RNAcentral.